Molecule: ribosomal RNA, 103 nt
Filed under: Cantharellus fribrillosus
Lineage: Eukaryota; Fungi; Basidiomycota; Agaricomycetes; Cantharellales; Hydnaceae
Description: partial 28S ribosomal RNA
Source: RNAcentral
CGUCCAUUGACCGCAAUGGUGCAUGCAAGGAUUUCAACGGCCAAAAAAUAACCCAUCGUGGUAUAAUUGCCUCAGGUCAGAGAAGGCUACCCGCUGGGACUAA